AACGAACGCUGGCGGCAUGCCUAACACAUGCAAGUCGAACGAGACCUUCGGGUCUAGUGGCGCACGGGUGCGUAACGCGUGGGAACCUGCCCUUAGGUUCGGAAUAACUCCCCGAAAGGGGUGCUAAUACCGGGUAAUGUCUUCGGACCAAAGAUUUAUCGCCUUUGGAUGGGCCCGCGUUGGAUUAGCUAGUUGGUAGGGUAAAAGCCUACCAAGGCGACGAUCCAUAGCUGGUCUGAGAGGAUGAUCAGCCACACUGGGACUGAGACACGGCCCAGACUCCUACGGGAGGCAGCAGUGGGGAAUAUUGGACAAUGGGCGAAAGCCUGAUCCAGCCAUGCCGCGUGAGUGAUGAAGGCCUUAGGGUUGUAAAGCUCUUUUACCCGGGAUGAUAAUGACAGUACCGGGAGAAUAAGCUUCGGCUAACUCCGUG
This 433-nucleotide ribosomal RNA is filed under the name uncultured bacterium. RNAcentral's name for it is "partial 16S ribosomal RNA". It matches the Rfam family "Bacterial small subunit ribosomal RNA", at positions 29 to 507 of the family's 1533-position model. The record is from RNAcentral.